AUGAACGCUGGCGGCGUGCCUAAUACAUGCAAGUCGAACGCUGGAAAUCUAGCUUGCUAGAUUGAAGGAGUGGCGAACGGGUGAGUAAUACAUAAGCAACCUACCCACGAAGACUGGGAUAAUCUCUGGAAACGGGGACUGAUACCGGAUAGGUAAUCGGAAGGCAUCUUCUGAUUAUUAAAGGUUAAAAACACUGGUGGAUGGGCUUAUGGCGCAUUAGUUAGUUGGUGAGGUAACGGCCCACCAAGACGAUGAUGCGUAGCCGGCCUGAGAGGGUGAACGGCCACAUUGGGACUGAGACACGGCCCAGACUCCUACGGGAGGCAGCAGUAGGGAAUUUUCGGCAAUGGGGGAAACCCUGACCGAGCAACGCCGCGUGAGUGAUGACGGCCUUCGGGUUGUAAAGCUCUGUUGUAAGGGAAGAACGGUAGAUAGAGAAUAUCUAAAUGACGGUACCUUACCAGAAAGCCACGGCUAACUACGUG
This 485-nucleotide ribosomal RNA is filed under the name uncultured bacterium. Its description in RNAcentral is "partial 16S ribosomal RNA". It matches the Rfam family "Bacterial small subunit ribosomal RNA", at positions 29 to 507 of the family's 1533-position model. The record is from RNAcentral.